Long non-coding RNA from Papaver somniferum (opium poppy), 339 nucleotides. RefSeq lists it as uncharacterized. NCBI's taxonomy places the organism in Eukaryota, Viridiplantae, Streptophyta, Magnoliopsida, Ranunculales, Papaveraceae. The record is from RefSeq and is a predicted model, not a curated record. The transcript is spliced from 3 exons.
CUUGUUUUUGUAGUUGUACGUUUUCAAAAAUGGUGAGGACCGAGUUGUCUGCGAAGGCAAAGAAUAAAGUAAGUGCAUGCUUAAUGAAGUAGGAACUGUAAAUAAGCAAGAUGAAAAAUUAGAGUCUCUUCAUUUGCAGAGAGACACUUAAAUGGCGAACAGUGGAAUGAUGGACUAUUAUCUACAGUUAGGAAGCGGGUUCACAUGGAGUUAGAAAGAAAAGCAAUGCAGGGGGAUGCUAGCAUGGCAUUGAAUUCUCACUUCCAUGGGAAAAUUACUUAUAGAGCAGGAAAUAAGGUAAUUUGCUGUCUGGAGGGAGCUAGAAUUGGCAUCCAGUAU